RNAcentral lists this ribosomal RNA (227 nucleotides) under uncultured bacterium. RNAcentral's name for it is "partial 16S ribosomal RNA". It matches the Rfam family "Bacterial small subunit ribosomal RNA", at positions 524 to 749 of the family's 1533-position model. The record is from RNAcentral.
UACGUAGGGGGCAAGCGUUGUCCGGAUUUAUUGGGCGUAAAGAGCGUGUAGGCGGCCAAGCAGGUCAGCUGUGAAAACUCGAGGCUCAACCUCGAGACGUCGGUUGAAACCGCUUGGCUAGAGUCCGGAAGAGGAGAGUGGAAUUCCCGGUGUAGCGGUGAAAUGCGCAGAUAUCGGGGAAGAACACCCGUGGCGAAGGCGGCUCUCUGGGACGGUACUGACGCUGA